RNAcentral lists this transfer RNA (77 nucleotides) under Deltaproteobacteria bacterium RIFOXYD12_FULL_56_24. Its description in RNAcentral is "tRNA-Arg". Lineage: Bacteria; Deltaproteobacteria. The record is from RNAcentral.
GCAAACAGUUAACUAGCAUAACCAUGUCCGGCCUUCGAAGCCGGGAGUCGGGGGUUCGAAUCCCUCCGGGCGCACCA